UUUUGGCGAGUUUGAUCCUGGCUCAGAGCGAACGCUGGCGGCGUACUUAACACAUGCAAGUCGUACGAGAAUCGUCGGGUUAGCAAUAAUUCGGCGGUUCGAGUGGCGCACGGGUGAGUAACACGUGGGUAACCCACCCUUGAGACCGGGAUACCCUCUCGAAAGGGAGGCUAAUACUGGAUACGUUCCCUG
RNAcentral lists this ribosomal RNA (192 nucleotides) under Candidatus Rokuibacteriota bacterium. RNAcentral describes it as "Candidatus Rokubacteria bacterium partial 16S ribosomal RNA". It matches the Rfam family "Bacterial small subunit ribosomal RNA", at positions 1 to 184 of the family's 1533-position model. Lineage: Bacteria; Candidatus Rokuibacteriota. The record is from RNAcentral.